GUACGGGAGGCAGCAGUGGGGAAUUUUGCGCAAUGGGCGAAAGCCUGACGCAGCAACGCCGCGUGGAGGAUGAAGGUUCUCUGAAUCGUAAACUCCUGUCGGCCGGGAAGAAUGGCCGGGGCGCUAAUCAGCCCCGACUUGACUGUACCGGCAAAGGAAGCCCCGGCUAACUCCGUGCCAGCAGCCGCGGUAAUACGGAGGGGGCAAGCGUUACUCGGAAUUAUUGGGCGUAAAGGGCGCGUAGGCGGCCGUGUGCGUCAGAGGUGAAAUCCCCGGGCUUAACCCGGGAACUGCCUCUGAUACGGCAUGGCUUGAGUCCGGGAGAGGGGAGCAGAAUUCCCAGUGUAGCGGUGAAAUGCGUAGAUAUUGGGAGGAAUACCAGUGGCGAAGGCGGCUCCCUGGACCGGUACUGACGCUGAGGCGCGAAAGCGUGGGUAGCAAACAGGAUUAGAUACCCUGGU
RNAcentral lists this ribosomal RNA (461 nucleotides) under uncultured bacterium. Its description in RNAcentral is "bacterial SSU rRNA". It matches the Rfam family "Bacterial small subunit ribosomal RNA", at positions 339 to 791 of the family's 1533-position model. The record is from RNAcentral.